RNAcentral lists this ribosomal RNA (467 nucleotides) under uncultured bacterium. RNAcentral describes it as "partial 16S ribosomal RNA". It matches the Rfam family "Bacterial small subunit ribosomal RNA", at positions 28 to 507 of the family's 1533-position model. The record is from RNAcentral.
GACGAACGCUGGCGGCGUGCUUAACACAUGCAAGUCGAACGGAAAGGCUCCAGCUUGCUGGAGUACUCGAGUGGCGAACGGGUGAGUAACACGUGGGUAAUCUGCCCUGCACUCUGGGAUAAGCCUGGGAAACUGGGUCUAAUACUGGAUAUGACCUUUCUCCUUAUGGGGUUUGGUGGAAAGUUUUUCGGUGUAGGAUGAGCCCGCGGCCUAUCAGCUUGUUGGUGGGGUGAUGGCCUACCAAGGCGACGACGGGUAGCCGGCCUGAGAGGGUGAUCGGCCACAUUGGGACUGAGAUACGGCCCAGACUCCUACGGGAGGCAGAAGUGGGGAAUAUUGCACAAUGGGCGGAAGCCUGAUGCAGCGACGCCGCGUGAGGGAUGACGGCCUUCGGGUUGUAAACCUCUUUCAGCAGGGACGAAGCGUAAGUGACGGUACCUGCAGAAGAAGCACCGGCUAACUAUGUG